RNAcentral lists this long non-coding RNA (1004 nucleotides) under Cricetulus griseus (Chinese hamster). RNAcentral describes it as "lncRNA (ENSCGRG00015043349.1)". Lineage: Eukaryota; Metazoa; Chordata; Mammalia; Rodentia; Cricetidae. The record is from RNAcentral.
GCGCGCGGGACAUAUGGUGCCGAAACCCGGGAACAUAUGAACAUCUCCAGCACCGCGGAGACCCCUUGGCUACAAGGCGGAUUCAGAACUGCAGGAUGGUAAAUUCGGAGAGUCAUCAAGCUGUGGUACUGCAAGAAGCCACACCUGGUGUGGUAUUGGUAUCAAUAACACCAAUCUUGAUCAUAUGUCAGAGAGCUUCGUAAAUGAGAAUGUGCCUGAAGUUAUCUACAGUGUCCCAGAGCUCUCCCGGGAGGUGUAUGCAGCUUACGAAGAUCAAGGCCCUUACUCCUAUAUUAACCAGAUAUUGAAGGAGGCCCAUUUCUACAGCCUUCAGCGGAGAGGACAGUAUCCAAUAUGAUGACCUCAGUUGUUUGUAAAAAGUAAUGGCAUUCACACAAAUGUGUCUUGGUUUUUGUCUGUAUUUUCAGUAAGAGAUCAAUGGGCAUUUGUACUCUUUCUCUGUUUUGCUCCACCACUUUGAAUUCCAAGGGUCUUUCAUGAUACUUAUAUAUGUUUUCUGUCAAGUCUAGUGUCCAAUUUAUGUUAAGAAGUAACAGGUGGACUUCUCCUGAUACUGAAGGGAUUAUAUAUUCAAUUUGGGUUGAGUUCCAAGUCACUCUUUUAGGGUCUCCAUGUUAAGUGUGUUUUUAAAAUGUGACUCCUUUUUCUGAAAGGCUAAGUGGUGUGGAAAAUGUGUGGUUUUCAUUAAAACGUGGAAAAACAGACAGUAUCAACAAACAAGGCAACACCAAACCAGUAAUGAGCAUCGGGGAAGAGGGAGAAUGUGACUUGUUCUCAUUCUGAAAUGAAUGGUAUGGAUGCUCCUCACAACAGACUUGCUACAUUGAAAUCACUCUCUACCUAUACGGGGGACAUUGUGGCUCCAUGUACUUGCUAAUCUGAACCCUGUAUCAAGGAACUACACUGUUUGAAUUUCAAGGCAGAACUGUCUUCUUCCUUUAAUGUCCCUGUGUGUGCUCUUCAAUCCCAUGGAAUGCACUGGU